RNAcentral lists this long non-coding RNA (693 nucleotides) under Panax ginseng (ginseng). RNAcentral's name for it is "long non-coding RNA (PGIN_LNC012594)". Lineage: Eukaryota; Viridiplantae; Streptophyta; Magnoliopsida; Apiales; Araliaceae. The record is from RNAcentral.
UUUUUUAUUCAGUUUUAACGGAUGUUGAACCUUAUUUAUAAUUAAUGGUUAAUUGAAUAUUCAUUAUUUAUUCCUUCUCACAUGAAAUUCAUUAUUGAUAAUCUGAUUUAAUUUCUGAAUGCUAUUUGGCUUAACUAAUUUGAUUUUUGCAUGAUUGAAUUGGUUAACGAAUAUCAUAUGCUAGAUUGUAAUUGAUAUUGUUCCUAAUCACAAGUAAUAAUUAGUAAUACCUGAUUGUGGACAAGCUUUUGAGUAUUGCUAUGAUUAUCAUAAGACAAGUUAAAUAAUCCGAGCUUAUGUGUUUGUUGCUUGGAAUAGUCUAAUUCCCUAGUUAUUAAUGAUGUUGUUAUAUUAAAUCUAGAGAGCUUGUUCUAAGUUAUAUAAUGGUUAGAAUCUUGUGAAGAACUUGUUUCAUUGAGUAACAAUCUAAGGGGAGUUUCGGGUAGCAGAGCUUGUUGUUACCUAAGACUAUUAGUUUCAUUGAAGGGUAAAUAAUGUUACACUUGAUUAAUCUAUUGUUGUAAAAAGGUGAUACUGAACUUAAGAACUGAAGCUUUUUAUUCAUUGUUAAUUCUUAUUAGUUUAUUCUUGUUAAUUUAGUUAAUCAAUUCAAAAUCCCCUUUUCAUUAGAAAUCAUAGGAUAAAUAUAAAACAAAUCACUCUUUGUGGGAUCGAUCCUUGCUUACUAAUGUG